UUCCAGCUCCUCGAGCAUGUACGUAAGUUGUUGCAGUUAAAAAGCUCGUAGUUGGAUCUCAGGCUCGUAGUCAGUGGUCCGCUCGGUAUGGGUGUGCACUGCUGUGCUCGGCCUACGUCUGGUUUACGUUCGUAGUGCCCUUAACUGGGUGCUGCGGAAUGCCAGAAGGUUUACUCUGAAAAAAUUAGAGUGCUCAAAGCAAGCUGUUAUGCUUGAAUACUGUUGCAUGGAAUAAUGGAAUAGGACCUCGGAUCUAUUUUGUUGGUUUUCGGAGUCGAGGUAAUGAUUAAGAGGGACAGACGGGGGCAUUCGUAUUGCGCCGUUAGAGGUGAAAUUCUUGGAUCGGCGCAAGACGAACAACUGCGAAAGCAUUUGCCAAGGAUGUUUUCAUUAAUCAAGAACGAAAGUCAGAGGUUCGAAGACGAUCAGAUACCGUCGUAGUUCUGACCAUAAACGAUGCCAACUGGCGAUCCGCCGUAGUCUGUUCUAUAAGGACUCGGCGGGCAGCCUCCGGGAAACCUAAGUCUAUGGGUUCCGGGGGAAGUAUGGUUGCAAAGCUGAAACUUAAAGGAAUUGACGGAAGGGCACCACCAGGAGUGGAGCCUGCGGCUUAAUUUGACUCAACACGGGAAAACUCACCCGGCCAGGACACCGUUAGGAUUGACAGACUGAUAGCUCUUUCUCGAUUCGGUGGGUGGUGGUGCAUGGCCGUUCUUAGUUGGUGGAGUGAUUUGUCUGGUUAAUUCCGAUAACGAACGAGACUCUAGCCUGCUAAAUAGACGGGCGAUCCCUUCGUGGGUCGACCCGAUUUGCUUCUUAGAGGGACAAGUGGCGUUCCUAGCCACGCGAAAUUGAGCAAUAACAGGUCUGUGAUGCCCUUAGAUGUCCGGGGCCGCACGCGCGCUACAAUGAGAGACGCAGUGUGCCCGCAAAGCCUGACCCGAAAGGGUUGGGUAAUCAUAUGAAUUUCUCUCGUAAUAGGGAUUGAGCAUUGUAAUUAUUGCUCAUGAACGAGGAAUUCCUAGUAAGCGCGAGUCAUAAGCUUGCGUUGACUACGUCCCUGCCCUU
RNAcentral lists this ribosomal RNA (1068 nucleotides) under uncultured eukaryote. RNAcentral's name for it is "SSU rRNA". It matches the Rfam family "Eukaryotic small subunit ribosomal RNA", at positions 583 to 1660 of the family's 1831-position model. The record is from RNAcentral.